This 466-nucleotide ribosomal RNA is filed under the name uncultured bacterium. RNAcentral describes it as "partial 16S ribosomal RNA". It matches the Rfam family "Bacterial small subunit ribosomal RNA", at positions 28 to 507 of the family's 1533-position model. The record is from RNAcentral.
GAUGAACGCUGGCGGCGUGCUUAACACAUGCAAGUCGAACGGAAAGGCCCAAGCUUGCUUGGGUACUCGAGUGGCGAACGGGUGAGUAACACGUGGGUGAUCUGCCCUGCACUUCGGGAUAAGCCUGGGAAACUGGGUCUAAUACCGGAUAGGACCACAUUCUGGAUGGUGUGGUGGAAAGUUUUUCGGUGUGGGAUGAGCUCGCGGCCUAUCAGCUUGUUGGUGGGGUAAUGGCCUACCAAGGCGUCGACGGGUAGCCGGCCUGGGAGGGUGUACGGCCACAUUGGGACUGAGAUACGGCCCAGACUCCUACGGGAGGCAGCAGUGGGGAAUAUUGCACAAUGGGCGCAAGCCUGAUGCAGCGACGCCGCGUGGGGGAUGACGGCCUUCGGGUUGUAAACUCCUUUCGCUAGGGACGAAGCGUUAUGUGACGGUACCUGGAGAAGAAGCACCGGCUAACUACGUG